GUGGUUACCAGGGAGAGCAGAAUCCUGGCGAGGUAAGACCAGGGCAGAACAUCCAGAGCUCCCCAGUCCCAUGGAAGGCCUUGCAUGGUGACUGUCAGAGGCUUUGGGGAGGAUGGUUUUCCUGCACCAGCAAUUACAACCCCAUCACCUUGCUGGCAAUGAAAGAACAUCCUGAGUCACUUCUGUGACACUUGUCCUUUUGGAAAGAUUUCAGUCAAACCAAUCAGAAGAGCAGAAUAGCCUCAAUUAGAAUUGUUUUUCAUUGCUUAUA
Molecule: long non-coding RNA, 271 nt
Organism: Coturnix japonica (Japanese quail)
Lineage: Eukaryota; Metazoa; Chordata; Aves; Galliformes; Phasianidae
Source: RefSeq, a predicted model, not a curated record